Molecule: ribosomal RNA, 448 nt
Filed under: uncultured bacterium
Lineage: Bacteria
Description: partial 16S ribosomal RNA
Rfam family: Bacterial small subunit ribosomal RNA
Source: RNAcentral
GUCCAGACUCCUACGGGAGGCAGCAGUCGGGAAUAUUGCGCAAUGGAGGAAACUCUGACGCAGUGACGCCGCGUGCAGGAAGAAGGUUUUCGGAUUGUAAACUGCUUUAGACAGGGAAGAAAAAAGACAGUACCUGUAGAAUAAGCUCCGGCUAACUACGUGCCAGCAGCCGCGGUAAUACGUAGGGAGCGAGCGUUAUCCGGAUUUACUGGGUGUAAAGGGGGCGCAGACGGCAGCGCAAGCCAGGAGUGAAAGCCCGGGGCCCAACCCCGGGACUGCUCUUGGAACUGCGCGGCUGGAGUGCAGGAGGGGCAGGCGGAAUUCCUGGUGUAGCGGUGAAAUGCGUAGAUAUCAGGAGGAACACCGGUGGCGAAGGCGGCCUGCUGGACUGCGACUGACGUUGAGGCCCGAAAGCGUGGGGAGCAAACAGGAUUAGAUACCCCCGUAA